UCCGGUUUGUCACCGGCGGUCUCCUUAGAGUUCCCACCAUUACGUGCUGGCAACUAAGGACAAGGGUUGCGCUCGUUGCGGGACUUAACCCAACAUCUCACGACACGAGCUGACGACAGCCAUGCAGCACCUGUCUUGGGACUCCGAAGGGGGGACUCGGUUUCUCGAGCCUUUCCCCAAGAUGUCAAGCCCAGGUAAGGUUCUUCGCGUUGCGUCGAAUUAAACCACAUGCCCCACCGCUUGUGCGGGCCCCCGUCAAUUCUUUUGAGUUUUAGCCUUGCGGCCGUACUCCCCAGGCGGAACACUUAUCGCGUUGGCUGCGGCACGGACAGAUUCGACUCCGCCCACACCUAGUGUUCAUCGUUUACGGCGUGGACUAC
Molecule: unclassified non-coding RNA, 380 nt
Filed under: uncultured bacterium
Lineage: Bacteria
Description: contains 16S-23S intergenic spacer region
Source: RNAcentral